This 76-nucleotide transfer RNA is filed under the name Mycolicibacterium porcinum. RNAcentral describes it as "tRNA-Trp". It matches the Rfam family "tRNA". From Rfam's summary of the family: Transfer RNA (tRNA) molecules are approximately 80 nucleotides in length. Their secondary structure includes four short double-helical elements and three loops (D, anti-codon, and T loops). Lineage: Bacteria; Bacillati; Actinomycetota; Actinomycetes; Mycobacteriales; Mycobacteriaceae. The record is from RNAcentral.
GCGGAUGUAGCUCAACCGGAAGAGUGGCGGUCUCCAAAACCGCAGGUUGGGGGUUCGAGUCCCUCCGUCCGCGCCA